ACCCCUGUGAGAAUGCCCCACAGUUCCCCGCCCGGGAACAAGGAGCUGGUAUUAGGCACGCCCCUUCCGGCAGCCCAUGAUGCCUUGCUUAGCCACACCCCCAAGGGACUUCAGCAGUGAUAAAUAUUAAGCCAUAAGUGAAAGCUUGACUUAGUUAAGGCUCAGAGGGUCGGUAAAACUCGUGCCAGCCACCGCGGUUAUACGAGGGACCCAAGUUGAUAUUCGCCGGCGUAAAGAGUGGUUAAGACAUACAAUGAAACUAAGGCGGAAUUUCUUCACAGUCGUCAUACGCUUUUGGAGAUAAGAAACCCAAUAACGAAAGUAGCCUUAUGAUAUCCGAAUCCACGAAAGCUAGGGCACAAACUGGGAUUAGAUACCCCACUAUGCCCAGCCCUAAACAUUGAUAGCCCACUACACCCGCUAUCCGCCCGGGGACUACGAGCACCAGCUUAAAACCCAAAGGACUUGGCGGCGCUUUAGACCCAUCUAGAGGAGCCUGUUCUGUAAUCGAUAACCCCCGUUAAACCUCACCCUUCCUUGUUCAUACC
RNAcentral lists this ribosomal RNA (548 nucleotides) under Triacanthus biaculeatus (short-nosed tripodfish). RNAcentral's name for it is "partial 12S rRNA". It matches the Rfam family "Bacterial small subunit ribosomal RNA", at positions 307 to 991 of the family's 1533-position model. The record is from RNAcentral. Lineage: Eukaryota; Metazoa; Chordata; Actinopteri; Tetraodontiformes; Triacanthidae.